Small nuclear RNA from Ailuropoda melanoleuca (giant panda), 107 nucleotides. Lineage: Eukaryota; Metazoa; Chordata; Mammalia; Carnivora; Ursidae. The record is from Ensembl.
AUGCUCGCUUCUGCAGCACAUAUACUAAAAUUGGAACGACACAGAGAAGACUAGCAUGGUCCUUGUGUAAGGAUGACACGGAAAUUCGGGAAGCAUCCCGUCUUUGU